CAGCCGCCGCGGUAAUACGUAGGGUGCAAGCGUUAAUCGGAAUUACUUGGCGUAAAGCGUGCGCAGGCGGUUAUAUAAGACAGAUGUGAAAUCCCCGGGCUCAACCUGGGAACUGCAUUUGUGACUGUAUAGCUAGAGUACGGCAGAGGGGGAUGGAAUUCCGCGUGUAGCAGUGAAAUGCGUAGAUAUGCGGAGGAACACCGAUGGCGAAGGCAAUCCCCUGGGCCUGUACUGACGCUCAUGCACGAAAGCGUGGGGAGCAAACAGGAUUAGAUACCCCUGUAGUCCCUGUCUCUUAUAC
Molecule: ribosomal RNA, 301 nt
Filed under: uncultured bacterium
Lineage: Bacteria
Description: partial 16S ribosomal RNA
Rfam family: Bacterial small subunit ribosomal RNA
Source: RNAcentral